CCUACGGGGGGCUGCAGUAAGGAAUAUUGGUCAAUGGAGGAAACUCUGAACCAGCCAUCCCGCGUGAAGGAUGAAGGGGCUCUGCCUUGUAAACUUCUUUUGUCUGGGGCGAAAAAGCUCGAUUUAUCGCGAACUGACGGUACCAGAAGAAUAAGCACCGGCUAACUCCGUGCCAGCAGCCGCGGUAAUACGGAGGGUGACAGCGUUACUGGGAAUCACUGGGUUUAAGGGGUGCUAGUACGGCUGUGGUGAAAGGCUGUGGCUUAACCAUGGAAUUGCCAUUGAUACUGCAGGGCUUGAAUGAGGUUGAGGUUGGCGGAAUGUGACAUGUAGCGGUGAAAUGCUUAGAUAUGUCAUGGAACACCGAUUGCGAAGGCAGCUGACUGGACCUAUAUUGACGCUGAGGCACGAAAGCGUGGGGAGCGAACAGGAUUAGAUACCCGAGUAGUC
This 450-nucleotide ribosomal RNA is filed under the name uncultured bacterium. RNAcentral's name for it is "partial 16S ribosomal RNA". It matches the Rfam family "Bacterial small subunit ribosomal RNA", at positions 338 to 795 of the family's 1533-position model. The record is from RNAcentral.